CCUGAGAAACCCAAAAGAUCGAAUGGGGAGAUUCAUCGUCAGCUCAUUUUGUAUAUGUAUGAGUUACGAUGCGGGUUACUACUUGUAGUAUUGCCUGCACGUUCUUAUAUAUUUAGUUGCAAGAUGUUGUCGUCGUGCACUUCUCCCCUAGUAGGACGUCGCGACCCGUUGGGUGUCGGUCUACGGCCCAAGUGGGAGCCUUUGAUGUUUCAUAACAUCAAAGACCCUUGGUGUUUUCUGACCGGCUACUCGGCGGUACUCGUACGGUAUUAAGCCGCAUAUUAUGCGUUCAUAUCCGUCGCAAGCGCGGCCUUCUGGUAGUACGGACCUAGUGCCGUCGCUGGUAUUGGCCAGCUGUUGGUUGUACGGUGUUCUAGAACUGGCUAUAUUACCGGUCGGCGAUGCUACUGCUUUGGGUACUUUCAGGACCCGUCUUGAAACACGGACCAAGGAGUCUAACAUGUGCGCAAGUCAUUGGGAUUUUUUNAAAAUUAAACCUAAAGGCGUAAUGAAAGUAAAGGUCGUCCUUGCGUCGACCGAGGGAGGAUGAGUUGUUUUACGAUACAGC
RNAcentral lists this ribosomal RNA (568 nucleotides) under Lysitermus sp. AZR-2008. Its description in RNAcentral is "eukaryotic LSU rRNA". It matches the Rfam family "Eukaryotic large subunit ribosomal RNA", at positions 420 to 756 of the family's 3401-position model. The record is from RNAcentral. Lineage: Eukaryota; Metazoa; Arthropoda; Insecta; Hymenoptera; Braconidae.